UAUCUGCAAGUCGAACGAACUUCCGUUAAUUGAUUAUGACGUACUUGUACUGAUUGAGAUUUUAACACGAAGUGAGUGGCGAACGGGUGAGUAACACGUGGGUAACCUGCCCAGAAGUAGGGGAUAACACCUGGAAACAGAUGCUAAUACCGUAUAACAGAGAAAACCGCAUGGUUUUCUUUUAAAAGAUGGCUCUGCUAUCACUUCUGGAUGGACCCGCGGCGUAUUAGCUAGUUGGUGAGGUAAAGGCUCACCAAGGCAGUGAUACGUAGCCGACCUGAGAGGGUAAUCGGCCACAUUGGGACUGAGACACGGCCCAGACUCCUACGGGAGGCAGCAGUAGGGAAUCUUCCACAAUGGACGCAAGUCUGAUGGAGCAACGCCGCGUGAGUGAAGAAGGGUUUCGGCUCGUAAAGCUCUGUUGUUAAAGAAGAACGUGGGUAAGAGUAACUGUUUACCCAGUGACGGUAUUUAACCAGAAAGCCACGGCUAACUACGUGCCAGCAGCCGCGGUAAUACGUAGGUGGCAAGCGUUAUCCGGAUUUAUUGGGCGUAAAGCGAGCGCAGGCGGUCUUUUAAGUCUAAUGUGAAAGCCUUCGGCUCAACCGAAGAAGUGCAUUGGAAACUGGGAGACUUGAGUGCAGAAGAGGACAGUGGAACUCCAUGUGUAGCGGUGAAAUGCGUAGAUAUAUGGAAGAACACCAGUGGCGAAGGCGGCUGUCUGGUCUGCAACUGACGCUGAGGCUCGAAAGCAUGGGUAGCGAACAGGAUUAGAUACCCUGGUAGUCCAUGCCGUAAACGAUGAUUACUAAGUGUUGGAGGGUUCUCCGCCCUUCAGUGCUGCAGCUAAC
This 851-nucleotide ribosomal RNA is filed under the name Pediococcus pentosaceus. RNAcentral's name for it is "bacterial SSU rRNA". It matches the Rfam family "Bacterial small subunit ribosomal RNA", at positions 52 to 856 of the family's 1533-position model. Lineage: Bacteria; Bacillati; Bacillota; Bacilli; Lactobacillales; Lactobacillaceae. The record is from RNAcentral.